AUGUCGCGCGUCAAGGCCCUGCAGGUGGCGCAGACGUGCGUGCUGUCCACGAGGUGGAGGCACCUCUGGCGCGCCGUGUCGUGCCUCGACGUCGACGAGCAGGAGUUCGGCACCCACAACAACUUCGAGAACUUCACAACCAACCUUCUAGGCAGCCAUGACGUCGCGUUUCUGGACGCCUUUCGGCUGCACGCAACCUCGGCUGCUCUCGGGUGGUAUCAGCGUCGAGACCUCACUCACCGCUGGGUCCGCCGCGCCAUGGGUCUAGAUGAUGCAAGCCCUUGCCGGCUCAGAAGGCUGCAUCUUUCCGGCCUGAAUUUGAACCUGGAAGAUAUUGCGAGUCACGUCAGCUCUGGAGGUCUUGGAACUGGAAAACUGCAACUACUAUAUCACCUGCAAUAUUAA
RNAcentral lists this ribosomal RNA (405 nucleotides) under Triticum aestivum (bread wheat). RNAcentral describes it as "partial small subunit ribosomal RNA". The record is from RNAcentral. Lineage: Eukaryota; Viridiplantae; Streptophyta; Magnoliopsida; Poales; Poaceae.